RNAcentral lists this ribosomal RNA (196 nucleotides) under uncultured bacterium. RNAcentral describes it as "partial 16S ribosomal RNA". It matches the Rfam family "Bacterial small subunit ribosomal RNA", at positions 328 to 539 of the family's 1533-position model. The record is from RNAcentral.
ACGCUCGACACCUACGGAGGCAGCAGUGGGGAAUAUUGCACAAUGGGGGAAACCCUGAUGCAGCGACGCCGCGUGGAGGAAGAAGGUCUUCGGAUUGUAAACUCCUGUUGUUGGGGAAAAANGGAUGGUACCCAACAAGGAAGUGACGGCUAACUACGUGCCAACAGCCGCGGUAAUCUGAGCGGGCUGGCAAGGC